UACGGAGGAUCCGAGCGUUAUCCGGAUUCACUGGGUUUAAAGGGUGCGUAGGCGGACAUUUAAGUCCGUGGUGAAAUCUCUGGGCUUAACCCAGAAACUGCCAUGGAUACUAUUUGUCUUGAAUGUUGUGGAGGUUAGCGGAAUAUGUCAUGUAGCGGUGAAAUGCAUAGAUAUGACAUAGAACACCGAUUGCGAAGGCAGCUGGCUACACAAAUAUUGACGCUGAGGCACGAAAGCGUGGGGAUCAAACAGG
This 253-nucleotide ribosomal RNA is filed under the name uncultured bacterium. RNAcentral describes it as "partial 16S ribosomal RNA". It matches the Rfam family "Bacterial small subunit ribosomal RNA", at positions 524 to 776 of the family's 1533-position model. The record is from RNAcentral.